UGGGGAAUCUUCCGCAAUGGACGAAAGUCUGACGGAGCAACGCCGCGUGAGUGAUGACGGCCUUCGGGUUGUAAAGCUCUGUUAAUCGGGACGAAUGGUUCUUGUGCAAAUAGUGCGAGGAUUUGACGGUACCGGAAUAGAAAGCCACGGCUAACUACGUGCCAGCAGCCGCGGUAAUACGUAGGUGGCAAGCGUUGUCCGGAAUUAUUGGGCGUAAAGCGCGCGCAGGCGGAUUGGUCAGUCUGUCUUAAAAGUUCGGGGCUUAACCCCGUGAUGGGAUGGAAACUGCCAAUCUAGAGUAUCGGAGAGGAAAGUGGAAUUCCUAGUGUAGCGGUGAAAUGCGUAGAUAUUAGGAAGAACACCAGUGGCGAAGGCGACUUUCUGGACGAAAACUGACGCUGAGGCGCGAAAGCCAGGGGAGCGAACGGG
This 429-nucleotide ribosomal RNA is filed under the name bacterium. RNAcentral describes it as "partial 16S ribosomal RNA". It matches the Rfam family "Bacterial small subunit ribosomal RNA", at positions 355 to 776 of the family's 1533-position model. The record is from RNAcentral.